Molecule: unclassified non-coding RNA, 21 nt
Filed under: Chlamydomonas reinhardtii
Lineage: Eukaryota; Viridiplantae; Chlorophyta; Chlorophyceae; Chlamydomonadales; Chlamydomonadaceae
Description: small RNA Cre_3613
Source: RNAcentral
UGUGGGUUUCGCGUUGUCGCG